CAGCAGCCGCGGGAAUCCGAAGGGUGCAAGCGUUACUCGGAAUUACUGGGCGUAAAGCGUGCGUAGGUGGUGGUUUAAGUCCGUUGUGAAAGCCCUGGGCUCAACCUGGGAAUUGCAGUGGAUACUGGGUCACUAGAGUGUGGUAGAGGAUAGUGGAAUUUCCGGUGUAGCAGUGAAAUGCGUAGAGAUCGGAAGGAACAUCUGUGGCGAAGGCGACUAUCUGGGCCAACACUGACACUGAGGCACGAAAGCGUGGGGAGCAAACAGGAUUAGAUACCCCUGUAGUCCCUGUCUCUUAUAC
This 301-nucleotide ribosomal RNA is filed under the name uncultured bacterium. Its description in RNAcentral is "partial 16S ribosomal RNA". It matches the Rfam family "Bacterial small subunit ribosomal RNA", at positions 509 to 807 of the family's 1533-position model. The record is from RNAcentral.